GAUGAACGCUGGCGGCGUGCCUAACACAUGCAAGUCGAACGGCAGCACGGGAAGCUUUUUUCUUUACGGUUAGCGGUGGCCGGGGGGGUAAUAACUCGAUAGUAACCUACUCCUUCCUGGUGGAUAACGGCAUGACACUGACGCUAAUACGUGAUAUUUUGUACCGGUUGAAUCAAGGGUUCUUGAAAGCUUUCGUGUCUGUUUGAGCUGGUCUCGUGUCGGCUUAGCUUGGUGGUAGGGGCACGGCCUACCAAGGAGACGAUGCGUAGCCGACCUGAGAGGGUGAUCGGCCACACUGGAACUGAGACACGGUCCAGACUCCUACGGGAGGCAGCAGUAGGGAAUAUUGUGCAAUGGGCGAAAGCCUGAUGAAGCAACGCCGCGUGGGGGAGGAAGGUCUUCGGAUCGUAAAGCUCUUUUAUUGGGGAAGAACAUAGGCGGAAUUAUCUGUGGAUGUCUUGACGGUACCUAAAUAGAAAGCCCCGGCUAACUACGUG
RNAcentral lists this ribosomal RNA (497 nucleotides) under uncultured bacterium. RNAcentral's name for it is "partial 16S ribosomal RNA". It matches the Rfam family "Bacterial small subunit ribosomal RNA", at positions 28 to 507 of the family's 1533-position model. The record is from RNAcentral.